GUCCUCGUAGCUCAGUAGGAUAGAGCGAUUGCCUCCUAAGCAGUAGGUCGCGCGUUCGAAUCGCGCCGAGGACG
Molecule: transfer RNA, 74 nt
Filed under: Chlamydiia bacterium
Lineage: Bacteria; Pseudomonadati; Chlamydiota; Chlamydiia
Description: tRNA-Arg
Rfam family: tRNA
About the family: Transfer RNA (tRNA) molecules are approximately 80 nucleotides in length.
Source: RNAcentral